GACAAGAAAUAACAAUACGGGGCUUAAUGUCUUGUAAUUGGAAUGAUGGGAAUUUAAACCUCUUCCAGAGUAUCAAUUGGAGGGCAAGUCUGGUGCCAGCAGCCGCGGUAAUUCCAGCUCCAAUAGCGUAUAUUAAAAUUGUUGCAGUUAAAAAGCUCGUAGUUGAAUUUCUGCUGCAUUGCAUUUGCUCCUUGACGAGUGUCUGUAUUGCGGCUUAUUUCGGAUUAUGCUUGCAUUUUCCGGAUGUUUACUUUGAGAAAAUUAGAGUGCUCAAAGCAGGCUUUUGCCUUGAAUAGUUUAGCAUGGAAUAAUAAAGUAGGACUUUGGUUCUAUUUUGUUGGUUUUAGGUACCAAAGUAAUGGUUAAUAGGAACAGUUGGGGGCAUUCGUAUUUAACUGUCAGAGGUGAAAUUCUUAG
This 417-nucleotide ribosomal RNA is filed under the name Theileria cervi. RNAcentral's name for it is "SSU rRNA". It matches the Rfam family "Eukaryotic small subunit ribosomal RNA", at positions 469 to 923 of the family's 1831-position model. The record is from RNAcentral. Lineage: Eukaryota; Apicomplexa; Aconoidasida; Piroplasmida; Theileriidae.